Molecule: ribosomal RNA, 354 nt
Filed under: bacterium LimB-100-A-373
Lineage: Bacteria
Description: bacterial SSU rRNA
Rfam family: Bacterial small subunit ribosomal RNA
Source: RNAcentral
GGUCUGAGAGGAUGACCAGCCACACUGGAACUGAGACACGGUCCAGACUCCUACGGGAGGCAGCAGUGGGGAAUAUUGCACAAUGGGCGCAAGCCUGAUGCAGCCAUGCCGCCUGUAUGAAGAAGGCCUUCGGGUUGUAAAGUACUUUCAGCGAGGAGGAAGGUGUUGAGGUUAAUAACCUCAGCGAUUGACGUUACUCGCAGAAGAAGCACCGGCUAACUCCGUGCCAGCAGCCGCGGUAAUACGGAGGGUGCAAGCGUUAAUCGGAAUUACUGGGCGUAAAGCGCACGCAGGCGGUCUGUCAAGUCGGAUGUGAAAUCCCCGGGCUCAACCUGGGAACUGCAUCCGAAACUG